RNAcentral lists this ribosomal RNA (576 nucleotides) under uncultured eukaryote. RNAcentral's name for it is "SSU rRNA". It matches the Rfam family "Eukaryotic small subunit ribosomal RNA", at positions 174 to 757 of the family's 1831-position model. The record is from RNAcentral.
UAAAAACCCCGACUUCGGAAGGGGUGUAUUUAUUAGAUACAAAACCAAUGCCCUUCGGGGCUCUUUGGUGAUUCAUGAUAACUAUACGAAUCGCACGGCCUUGCGCCGGCGAUGGUUCAUUCAAAUUUCUUCCCUAUCAACUUUCGAUGUUUGGGUAUUGGCCAAACAUGGUUGCAACGGGUAACGGAGGGUUAGGGCUCGACCCCGGAGAAGGAGCCUGAGAAACGGCUACUACAUCCAAGGAAGGCAGCAGGCGCGCAAAUUACCCAAUCCCGACUCGGGGAGGUAGUGACAAUAAAUACUGAUACAGGGCCCUUUCGGGCCUUGUAAUUGGAAUGAGUACAAUUUAAAUCCCUUAACGAGGAACAAUUGGAGGGCAAGUCUGGUGCCAGCAGCCGCGGUAAUUCCAGCUCCAAUAGCGUAUAUUAAAGUUGUUGUGGUUAAAAAGCUCGUAGUUGAACCUUGGGCCUGGCUGGCCGGUCCGCCUCACCGCGUGCACUGGUCCGGCCGGGCCUUUCCCUCUGUGGAACCCCAUACCCUUCACUGGGCGUGGCGGGGAAAACAGGACAUUUACUU